GUUGACGAACAGUGUGGGGUCUGUGUUACAAUUUACUUUCAGAGUAUCGUCACUCUUGCAAUUUUUAUAUAUUAAAAGAUGAAAUUAGAUAAUCAUAUAGAGAGUAUAUAACAAGGAAAAAUUCAUAUGUGAUCACUUGGAGCAGUAUUACGCCAGGGACACGGGCUGCACGGUUGCACGCAGUGUGGUCUCUUACAUAAGUUAGAACAGAGGUUAGAAAGAGAAGCAUAGAGAAUACGUUCGACCGAUAUGAAUAGUUGACACGAUGUUUUCACUUGACAUCAGUUUUCAUCAGAAAAUGAAGCUCUGCCUGCGUCUUCGGAGGUACACUCACUACGAAUUCAACAUGAAGAAAUCAAGAACAAUGUUUUGUCAACGAUCACCAAUCCAAUUAAUAUGAAGAUUAACGCUGGUUCCCUUAAACACGUUGAAACGCGAAAACACGCGAUAAUAUUGAAGCGCGAGGAAAGUUAACAGGCUGAACCAUCUACGUCCGCAACGUAUACAUAUACUGACAGCUACGUAGACGAAACGAGUCUCAUAAAUGCACGAAAUCACGUCUACUCACACGCACUGUGAUACUCAGAUCGGAUAGUGUCUUCGUUGACAGAAGACGAGUCCAUAAACUCGCGUUUCACAAACGUACAGCGAGAUUCUGCGAGACGAAAUGAAACAACUAGCUGAACGAAAUGACAAAA
Molecule: unclassified non-coding RNA, 698 nt
Filed under: Bombus terrestris (buff-tailed bumblebee)
Lineage: Eukaryota; Metazoa; Arthropoda; Insecta; Hymenoptera; Apidae
Description: misc RNA ENSBTSG00005034254.1
Source: RNAcentral